GGGCCGUUAGCUCAGCUGGUAGAGCAGCGGACUUUUAAUCCGCGGGUCGUAGGUUCGAGCCCUACACGGCCCACCA
RNAcentral lists this transfer RNA (76 nucleotides) under Thermoanaerobaculia bacterium. Its description in RNAcentral is "tRNA-Lys". It matches the Rfam family "tRNA". From Rfam's summary of the family: Transfer RNA (tRNA) molecules are approximately 80 nucleotides in length. Their secondary structure includes four short double-helical elements and three loops (D, anti-codon, and T loops). Lineage: Bacteria; Pseudomonadati; Acidobacteriota; Thermoanaerobaculia. The record is from RNAcentral.